CAUAAUAAAAGGAUCUCAGUCAACAGCCUCUCCAUCUACUCUUCUCCUGAAGUGCUGAGACCUGUGCUGCUCAUAGCUGAACAAGAAGGAGAACAAUCCUACGUCCUGGUGCUUCAUCUCAGUGUGUCCCCUAAUUCAUCCUCCAUCUCCUCGACCUACUUCACCUCCUAGACCUCCGUCACCACCUAAACCGCCUUCACCUCCUAAACCUCCUUCACCCCCUAGGCCUCCUUCACCUCCCAGACCUCCAUCAUCUGGUAAUAACUGUGGAGGAGGUGGAGGAGGAGGGGGAGGAGAAGGUUGUAGAGGAAAAAGAGGAUGUGGGAAAGAAGGUGGAGCCAGAAGAAGAAGAAGAAGAAGAAGAAGAAGAAGAAGAAGAAGAAGAAGAAGAAGAAGAAGAAGAAGAAGAAGAAGAAGGGGAAGAAGAAGAAGAGAGG
This is a long non-coding RNA of Erinaceus europaeus (western European hedgehog), 437 nucleotides long. RefSeq lists it as uncharacterized. The record is from RefSeq and is a predicted model, not a curated record. NCBI's taxonomy places the organism in Eukaryota, Metazoa, Chordata, Mammalia, Eulipotyphla, Erinaceidae. The transcript is spliced from 3 exons.